ACAAAGGCUGUGUCAGCCCUCAGUGCCUGUGGGGCAGGCUCUCUCCUAAGCUGGAUUCACCUACUUCCCUGGGUUGAGCAGGACCACAUGGGGGGAAAGAGCCCUUGCCUAGAGCUGCACCUGAUGGAGAGAACCUCACUCCUGGGGGCUCUGUGUUGUCACCUGUCCAGUGGGAGAAGAGUCCCCACCCCGGCCCAAAGGGAGCCUCCAAACAGCCAGAAGACAGCCUUGGAUGAACGCCCUCCACUCCACUCAGCCAUGCUGGUCAAGGACUAAUCAGACAACAAGCAAAGCAUGUUUUAAAAAUGGCACAGGACAAGUCACCACCUUGACCUCAACAGGAGGAAGCUGUGGGUCCCUGCAGAAGAAAGACAAGAUUCUAGUCUGAUCUCUGCCAUGGAUUUGCUGUGUGACCUCAGGGCAGGGCCUUCAGGAAUUGUGAGCUGUGUAUAACUCCACUCAAAAUCUCAGCAAGAUCAGAUUUAAGAACUAAUAAAAGCAAUUCCAAAGUCCACCCAGGACAA
Molecule: long non-coding RNA, 524 nt
Organism: Suricata suricatta (meerkat)
Lineage: Eukaryota; Metazoa; Chordata; Mammalia; Carnivora; Herpestidae
Exons: 4
Source: RefSeq, a predicted model, not a curated record